This 468-nucleotide ribosomal RNA is filed under the name uncultured bacterium. RNAcentral describes it as "partial 16S ribosomal RNA". It matches the Rfam family "Bacterial small subunit ribosomal RNA", at positions 28 to 507 of the family's 1533-position model. The record is from RNAcentral.
GACGAACGCUGGCGGCGUGCUUAACACAUGCAAGUCGAACGGAAACGCCCUGCUAUUGUGGGGUGCUCGAGUGGCGAACGGGGGAGUAACACGUGAGUAACCUGCCCUUGACUUUGGUAUAACUUCAGGUAACUGAGGCUAAUACCGGAUAGGAGCUCCCCUUGCAUGGUGGGCGUUGGAAAGUUUCGGCGGUUGGGGAUGGACUAGCGGCUUAUCAGCUUGUUGGUGGGGUAGUGGCUUACCAAGGCUGUGACGGGUAGCCGGCCUGAGAGGGUGACCGGCCACCUUGGGACUGAGAUACGGCCCAGACUCCUACGGGAGGCAGCAGUGGGGAAUCUUGCACAAUGGGCGGAAGCCUGAUGCAGCAACGCCGCGUGCGGGAUGACGGCCUUCGGGUUGUAAACCGCUUUCGCCUGUGACGAAGCGUGAGUGACGGUAAUGGGUAAAGAAGCACCGGCUAACUACGUG